GGGGAUGUAGCUCAGGUAGAGUGCUUGCCUAGCAAGCAUGAGGCCCUGGGUUCAAUCCCCAGCAGUGACA
This 70-nucleotide transfer RNA is filed under the name Marmota marmota marmota (Alpine marmot). It matches the Rfam family "tRNA". Rfam says of the family: Transfer RNA (tRNA) molecules are approximately 80 nucleotides in length. Their secondary structure includes four short double-helical elements and three loops (D, anti-codon, and T loops). Further hydrogen bonds mediate the characteristic L-shaped molecular structure. tRNAs have two regions of fundamental functional importance: the anti-codon, which is responsible for specific mRNA codon recognition, and the 3' end, to which the tRNAs corresponding amino acid is attached (by aminoacyl-tRNA synthetases). tRNAs cope with the degeneracy of the genetic code in two manners: having more than one tRNA (with a specific anti-codon) for a particular amino acid; and 'wobble' base-pairing, i.e. permitting non-standard base-pairing at the 3rd anti-codon position. Lineage: Eukaryota; Metazoa; Chordata; Mammalia; Rodentia; Sciuridae. The record is from Rfam by way of RNAcentral. RNAcentral also lists the same sequence under 2 other names.